Molecule: ribosomal RNA, 292 nt
Filed under: uncultured bacterium
Lineage: Bacteria
Description: partial 16S ribosomal RNA
Rfam family: Bacterial small subunit ribosomal RNA
Source: RNAcentral
GUGUCAGCCGCCGCGGUAAUACGUAGGGGGCAAGCGUUGUCCGGAUUUAUUGGGCGUAAAGAGCGUGUAGGCGGCUAGGUAGGUCCGUUGUGAAAACUCGAGGCUCAACCUCGAGGCGUCGAUUGAAACCAUCUAGCUAGAGUCCGGAAGAGGAGAGUGGAAUUCCCGGUGUAGCGGUGAAAUGCGCAGAUAUCAGGAAGAACACCCGUGGCUAAGGCGGCUCUCUAGUACGUGACUGACGCUGAGACGCGAAAGCGUGGGGAGCGAACAGGAUUAGAUACCCCGGUAGUCC